GAGGGUAUAGCUCAGUGGUAGAGUGCAUGCUUAGCAUGCAUGAGGUCCUGGGUUCAAUCCCCAGUACUUCCU
RNAcentral lists this transfer RNA (72 nucleotides) under Camelus bactrianus (Bactrian camel). It matches the Rfam family "tRNA". From Rfam's summary of the family: Transfer RNA (tRNA) molecules are approximately 80 nucleotides in length. Their secondary structure includes four short double-helical elements and three loops (D, anti-codon, and T loops). Lineage: Eukaryota; Metazoa; Chordata; Mammalia; Artiodactyla; Camelidae. The record is from Rfam by way of RNAcentral. RNAcentral also lists the same sequence under 2 other names.